GAUGAACGCUGGCGGCGUGCCUAAUACAUGCAAGUCGAGCGAACGGACGAGAAGCUUGCUUCUCUGAUGUUAGCGGCGGACGGGUGAGUAACACGUGGAUAACCUACCUAUAAGACUGGGAUAACUUCGGGAAACCGGAGCUAAUACCGGAUGAUAUUUUGAACCGCAUGGUUCAAAAGUGAAAGACGGUCUUGCUGUCACUUAUAGAUGGAUCCGCGCUGCAUUAGCUAGUUGGUAAGGUAACGGCUUACCAAGGCAACGAUGCAUAGCCGACCUGAGAGGGUGAUCGGCCACACUGGGACUGAGACACGGCCCAGACUCCUACGGGAGGCAGCAGUAGGGAAUCUUCCGCAAUGGGCGAAAGCCUGACGGAGCAACGCCGCGUGAGUGAUGAAGGUCUUCGGAUCGUAAAACUCUGUUAUUAGGGAAGAACAUAUGUGUAAGUAACUGUGCACAUCUUGACGGUACCUAAUCAGAAAGCCACGGCUAACUACGCG
RNAcentral lists this ribosomal RNA (497 nucleotides) under uncultured bacterium. RNAcentral describes it as "partial 16S ribosomal RNA". It matches the Rfam family "Bacterial small subunit ribosomal RNA", at positions 28 to 507 of the family's 1533-position model. The record is from RNAcentral.